GACUGUAUUUUAGUGGUGAGAACUCCACAUUGUGGCCCUGGAGACCUAGGCUCGAAUCCCAGCAGUAACA
Molecule: non-coding RNA, 70 nt
Organism: Ilex paraguariensis (yerba mate)
Lineage: Eukaryota; Viridiplantae; Streptophyta; Magnoliopsida; Aquifoliales; Aquifoliaceae
Source: the annotation of a GenBank genome assembly